Molecule: long non-coding RNA, 592 nt
Organism: Homo sapiens (human)
Lineage: Eukaryota; Metazoa; Chordata; Mammalia; Primates; Hominidae
Gene: SNHG20
Product: small nucleolar RNA host gene 20
Source: Ensembl
GGAGGGGAAACCCGCUCUCGCCUCCUGGUGGUCGCCGACUCGCAGUCCGCAGGAUGACUCAGGGCAGCCCUGACCACAGUUCCGCCGCCAUCGGCCCUAGCCUGCGGAAUUGGGCUCGCCCCGGGACGAUAACAGAGCUCUGCCGGGGGCUGGAGGCACUGACCGGGUGACCAGAGACCCAGAGACCAGACCCCCUCCACGGCGCCCGGGAUUUCGGGGACGGCUUCUCCCAUCGCAAGUUUCAACAGAAAAUGAGAAAUAUCCCCCGACGAUUGGCUGAAAACAUGCAGCAACCACUAUUUUCUUCCUGCCCCUCGUUGAUGAGAGCAUUCGAAGUGACCUCAGCAGGGCAUCCAGGUCAGUUUCUGGAAGACUUGUGUGUGUGAUGAAUGAAUAUCUGGUUUUGUCUCUGCUGGGCCUGUGUGCCUGGAAAGGAAUUGUUUUGGCCUAGGAUCAUCCAGGCCCGGUGCAGUGGCUCAUGUCUGUAAUCCCAGCACUUUGGGAGGCCAAGGCAGGUGGAUCACCUGAGGUCAGGAGUUCGAAACCAGCCUGGCCAACAUGGCAAAACCCCAUCUCUACUAAAAAUACAAAA